AUGCAAGUCGAAGAAGGAUUGGCCGAUGCUGCCGGCUGGCAUCAAGUUCGAUCCACGGAUCAGGAGCUGAUCGAGCACCUUGAGGCCAAAGUGAGUGCUGACAGCGUGAGAUUUCAGUCUCUCAUCGAUUUGUUCAUACCAACCAUCGACAGCGAGCACAACAUAUGCUACACCCAACCUGAAAAACUUCUAGGUAUCACACUGAGUGGCCUAAGGAAGCAAUUCUUCCAGCGCAAUUCCAAGGCGUUCAAAAGGGGCAUGUGGACGCGUCGCAAGAUACAGUCGGAGUGCGGCAUGCACGCGAUGUGGCACAAGACCGGCAAUACCUUGCCGGUGAUGCAGAGGACCAACUGGGUGAUGCACCAGUACCACCUCGGGGACCUGGAGCAAGAGAAGGAGCGGGAACUGGUCGAGCAAGUUUCAACUGGGCUGCAGACUGCCUAG
RNAcentral lists this ribosomal RNA (444 nucleotides) under Triticum aestivum (bread wheat). RNAcentral's name for it is "partial small subunit ribosomal RNA". Lineage: Eukaryota; Viridiplantae; Streptophyta; Magnoliopsida; Poales; Poaceae. The record is from RNAcentral.